CAAUAGCGUAUAUUAAAGUUGUUGCAGUUAAAAAGCUCGUAGUUGGAUUUCUGGUCGGAAGCUCCUGUCCUCUGAUGAGCGUACAAGUGCGUCCUACCAUCCUUCUGUUAACCUUUAAGGCUUUCGCGGCUUUCUAGGGGCUCAGAUAUUUUACCUUGAGAAAAUUAGAGUGUUUCAGGCAGGCUAGCGCCGGAAUACAUUAGCAUGGAAUAAUGGAAUAGGACUUUUGCCUCUUCUGUUGGUCAUGAGGCUCGAGUAAUGAUUAAUAGGGAUAGUUGGGGGCAUUAGUACUUAACUGUCAGAGGUGAAAUUCUCGGAUUUGUUACAGACUAACUUAUGCGAAAGCAUUUGCCAAGGAUGUUUUCAUUAA
RNAcentral lists this ribosomal RNA (370 nucleotides) under uncultured eukaryote. Its description in RNAcentral is "partial 18S ribosomal RNA". It matches the Rfam family "Eukaryotic small subunit ribosomal RNA", at positions 592 to 976 of the family's 1831-position model. The record is from RNAcentral.